UACGGAGGGUGCGAGCGUUGUCCGGAAUUACUGGGCGUAAAGCGCGUGUAGGCGGCUCUUCAAGUCAGGCGUGAAAGCCCCGGGCUCAACUCGGGAACUGCGCUUGAUACUGUCGAGCUAGAGUGUGGAAGGGGCGAUUGGAAUUCCGUGUGUAGCGGUGAAAUGCGUAGAUAUACGGAGGAACACCAGAGGCGAAGGCGGAUCGCUGGGCCAACACUGACGCUGAGACGCGAAAGCUAGGGUAGCAAACGGG
Molecule: ribosomal RNA, 253 nt
Filed under: uncultured bacterium
Lineage: Bacteria
Description: partial 16S ribosomal RNA
Rfam family: Bacterial small subunit ribosomal RNA
Source: RNAcentral